Molecule: ribosomal RNA, 253 nt
Filed under: uncultured bacterium
Lineage: Bacteria
Description: partial 16S ribosomal RNA
Rfam family: Bacterial small subunit ribosomal RNA
Source: RNAcentral
UACGUAGGGGGCAAGCGUUGUCCGGAAUCAUUGGGCGUAAAGAGCGUGUAGGCGGUUCGGUAAGUCGGCUGUGAAAGUCCAGGGCUCAACCCUGGGAUGCCGGUCGAUACUGCCGGACUAGAGUUCGGAAGAGGCGAGUGGAAUUUCCGGUGUAGCGGUGAAAUGCGCAGAUAUCGGGAGGAACACCUAUGGCGAAGGCAGCUCGCUGGGACGUUACUGACGCUGAGACGCGAAAGCGUGGGGAGCAAACAGG